This 497-nucleotide ribosomal RNA is filed under the name uncultured bacterium. RNAcentral describes it as "partial 16S ribosomal RNA". It matches the Rfam family "Bacterial small subunit ribosomal RNA", at positions 28 to 507 of the family's 1533-position model. The record is from RNAcentral.
GACGAACGCUGGCGGCGUGCCUAAUACAUGCAAGUUGAGCGCUGAAGGUUGGUACUUGUACCAACUGGAUGAGCAGCGAACGGGUGAGUAACGCGUGGGGAAUCUGCCUUUGAGCGGGGGACAACAUUUGGAAACGAAUGCUAAUACCGCAUAAAAACUUUAAACACAAGUUUUAAGUUUGAAAGAUGCAAUUGCAUCACUCAAAGAUGAUCCCGCGUUGUAUUAGCUAGUUGGUGAGGUAAAGGCUCACCAAGGCGAUGAUACAUAGCCGACCUGAGAGGGUGAUCGACCACAUUGGGACUGAGACACGGCCCAAACUCCUACGGGAGGCAGCAGUAGGGAAUCUUCGGCAAUGGACGAAAGUCUGACCGAGCAACGUCGCGUGAGUGAAGAAGGUUUUCGGAUCGUAAAACUCUGUUGGUAGAGAAGAACGUUGGUGAGAGUGGAAAGCUCAUCAAGUGACGGUAACUACCCAGAAAGGGACGGCUAACUACGUG